GCCUGGGUGGCUCAGUCGGUUAAGCAUCUGACUUCAGUUCAGGUCAUGAUCUCAUAGUUUGUGGGUUCGAGCCCCACAUAGGGCU
Molecule: transfer RNA, 85 nt
Filed under: Felis catus (domestic cat)
Lineage: Eukaryota; Metazoa; Chordata; Mammalia; Carnivora; Felidae
Rfam family: tRNA
About the family: Transfer RNA (tRNA) molecules are approximately 80 nucleotides in length. Their secondary structure includes four short double-helical elements and three loops (D, anti-codon, and T loops). Further hydrogen bonds mediate the characteristic L-shaped molecular structure. tRNAs have two regions of fundamental functional importance: the anti-codon, which is responsible for specific mRNA codon recognition, and the 3' end, to which the tRNAs corresponding amino acid is attached (by aminoacyl-tRNA synthetases). tRNAs cope with the degeneracy of the genetic code in two manners: having more than one tRNA (with a specific anti-codon) for a particular amino acid; and 'wobble' base-pairing, i.e. permitting non-standard base-pairing at the 3rd anti-codon position.
Source: Rfam by way of RNAcentral